RNAcentral lists this ribosomal RNA (899 nucleotides) under Dicranidion fragile. Its description in RNAcentral is "LSU rRNA". It matches the Rfam family "Eukaryotic large subunit ribosomal RNA", at positions 38 to 966 of the family's 3401-position model. The record is from RNAcentral. Lineage: Eukaryota; Fungi; Ascomycota; Orbiliomycetes; Orbiliales; Orbiliaceae.
GCUUAUCAAUAAGCGGAGGAAAAGAAACCAACAGGGAUUGCCUCAGUAACGGCGAGUGAAGCGGCAAGAGCUCAAAUUUGAAAUCUGGCGCAAGCCCGAGUUGUAAUUUGAAGAGGAUGCCUCGGCUGGGGUCACGGCUUAAGUUCCUUGGAACAGGACGUCUAAGAGGGUGAGAAUCCCGUACGGCCGCCGACCCGCGCCAUGUGUGGCUCCUUCGAAGAGUCGAGUUGUUUGGGAAUGCAGCUCAAAAUGGGUGGUAAAUUUCAUCUAAAGCUAAAUAUUGGCGAGAGACCGAUAGCGCACAAGUAGAGUGAUCGAAAGAUGAAAAGCACUUUGAAAAGAGAGUUAAACAGUACGUGAAAUUGUUGAAAGGGAAGCGCUUGCGAUCAGACUCGCUGGCGGUUGAUCAACGUUCCUUCUGGUUCGUGCACUCUUCCGUCUGCGGGCCAGCAUCGGUUGGGACGGCGGGACAAAGGCGCCGGGAAUGUGGCUCCUCGGAGUGUUAUAGCCCGGCGCGCAAUGCCGCCUGCCCCGAUCGAGGUCCGCGCUUCGGCUAGGAUGCUGGCUUAAUGUUCGUAAGCGACCCGUCUUGAAACACGGACCAAGGAGUCUAACAUCUAUGCGAGUCUUUGGGUGCAAAACCCAUGGGCGCAAUGAAAGUGAACGGAGGCGGGAGCCUUAGGGUGCACCGUCGACCGAUCCUGAUGUUCUCGGAUGGAUUUGAGUAUGAGCAUAGCUGUUGGGACCCGAAAGAUGGUGAACUAUGCCUGAAUAGGGGUGAAGCCAGAGGAAACUAUGGUGGAGGCUCGCAGCGGUUCUGACGUGCAAAUCGAUCGUCAAAUUUGGGUAUAGGGGCGAAAGACUAAUCGAACCAUCUAGUAGCUGGGUUCCUGCCGAAG